GUCGAGCGAACAGACGAGGAGCUUGCUCCUCUGACGUUAGCGGCGGACGGGUGAGUAACACGUGGAUAACCUACCUAUAAGACUGGGAUAACUUCGGGAAACCGGAGCUAAUACCGGAUAAUAUAUUGAACCGCAUGGUUCAAUAGUGAAAGACGGUUUUGCUGUCACUUAUAGAUGGAUCCGCGCCGCAUUAGCUAGUUGGUAAGGUAACGGCUUACCAAGGCAACGAUGCGUAGCCGACCUGAGAGGGUGAUCGGCCACACUGGAACUGAGACACGGUCCAGACUCCUACGGGAGGCAGCAGUAGGGAAUCUUCCGCAAUGGGCGAAAGCCUGACGGAGCAACGCCGCGUGAGUGAUGAAGGUCUUCGGAUCGUAAAACUCUGUUAUUAGGGAAGAACAAAUGUGUAAGUAACUAUGCACGUCUUGACGGUACCUAAUCAGAAAGCCACGGCUAACUACGUGCCAGCAGCCGCGGUAAUACGUAGGUGGCAAGCGUUAUCCGGAAUUAUUGGGCGUAAAGCGC
RNAcentral lists this ribosomal RNA (525 nucleotides) under uncultured Staphylococcus sp. RNAcentral's name for it is "bacterial SSU rRNA". It matches the Rfam family "Bacterial small subunit ribosomal RNA", at positions 61 to 568 of the family's 1533-position model. The record is from RNAcentral. Lineage: Bacteria; Bacillati; Bacillota; Bacilli; Caryophanales; Staphylococcaceae.